RNAcentral lists this ribosomal RNA (497 nucleotides) under uncultured bacterium. RNAcentral's name for it is "partial 16S ribosomal RNA". It matches the Rfam family "Bacterial small subunit ribosomal RNA", at positions 28 to 507 of the family's 1533-position model. The record is from RNAcentral.
GAUGAACGCUGGCGGCGUGCCUAAUACAUGCAAGUCGAGCGAACAGACGAGGAGCUUGCUCCUCUGACGUUAGCGGCGGACGGGUGAGUAACACGUGGAUAACCUACCUAUAAGACUGGGAUAACUUCGGGAAACCGGAGCUAAUACCGGAUAAUAUAUUGAACCGCAUGGUUCAAUAGUGAAAGACGGUUUUGCUGUCACUUAUAGAUGGAUCCGCGCCGCAUUAGCUAGUUGGUAAGGUAACGGCUUACCAAGGCAACGAUGCGUAGACGACCUGAGAGGCGGAUAGGCCACACUGGAACUGAGACACGGUCCAGACUCCUACGGGAGGCAGCAGUAGGGAAUCUUCCGCAAUGGGCGAAAGCAUGACGCAGCAACGCCGAGUGAGUGACGAAGGCCUUCGGAUCGUAAAAAUCUGCUAUUAGGGAAGAACAACUGUGUAAGUAACUAUGCACGUCUUGACGGUACCUAAUCAGAAAGCAACGGCUAACUACGUG